AGGUAGGGCAUGGGCGGCGCCAUGUUUCGAACCUGGUCAGGUCCGGGAGGAAGCAGCCAUAAGAGACCGCUGACGAGCGCCCUUGUCCUAUCUGCA
This 96-nucleotide signal recognition particle RNA is filed under the name bacterium D16-34. Its description in RNAcentral is "Bacterial small signal recognition particle RNA". It matches the Rfam family "Bacterial small signal recognition particle RNA". Rfam says of the family: The signal recognition particle (SRP) is a universally conserved ribonucleoprotein involved in the co-translational targeting of proteins to membranes. Archaeal SRP consists of a 7S RNA and homologues of the eukaryotic SRP19 and SRP54 proteins. In most bacteria, the SRP consists of a 4.5S RNA and the Ffh protein (a homologue of the eukaryotic SRP54 protein). RNAcentral also lists the same sequence under 1 other name. The record is from Rfam by way of RNAcentral.